GUCUCCCAGAAGGGCCUCUCAAACGGCCUGGCGUCCCCAGCGAGGGUGAGGGCGACGUCGGGGACCAACAGCCGUGUGUCCUCUCUCCUCGUGUGCUCCGUCUGUCUCCACAGUUGGUACAGGUUCGUCCAACACGUCAUCAAUGUCUCCCUCGCCCUCGCUCUUCUCCCUAACCACGACGAGAGAAGGUCCACCUGAUUUGGAUCUACAGCGGGGCGGGUGCCGGAGAGCUCCUAUGGCUGUAUUGAUCUGGGAGGACGAGGAUAUAGAGGAGAUAGGUUUUCCCCUUAAAUCAUUUUGGAGCUCGGACCUGCUGCACUUGCGCCAAUGUUCAUGAGUAAGUAAAAAAACAGCCCGUUGACCUGGCCGCCUCCCUCGCAUAAGCCCAAGCCGCCUCCGUCGACCGUGGUUCCCGGCGGUUUCUUCUUCCGACGAUAUCAGCGACACUCCUGGUCCCGAUCGUCUCCCUCGCUGCAUAGCCCUCUCGCCAGGUCGUUUCGUUGCUUUGAACCAUCGAGGAUAUAUUUUUACAUCCUGCUUUUUCUAUCAAGAUCAGGUCGCUGAAGCACUUGGAACAAUCGUAGCUUGCUUUUGAAACGUUACAUCCCCUAAAGGACCAGGUUCAAACAGGGACAGCAACGCAUCAAAGAAAAAAAACAGACACCAAAUCUUUCAAGAACUGAAGAUUUUAAUUUCUCAGAUCGUCGACAACCUUUUAAGUUGUGAAAUGCCCUCUGUAUAAUUAUAUAUGUCUGCUCAACUCCUUUAAAGACAUUUCGUGUAAAUAUAGCAAUCUAGGUUUAAAUAUUGUAACAAACAUAUUAGCUCCUGGCACAUCUAACUUAACUCUAUUUUAUAUAUAAGCCUGUUAUGCUCUAUAUUGUCUUUCAUGCUCUAUAUUAUCUAAAAAACACAACUAACAUGAACCAUCUUCAAUACUAAAGUUACAAAUUAUUUCCCACGCGUGCAAGGCGCGCGAACGUUACUAGUGAUACAUAAUCAAAGAUCAGAUUGCAACAACUGACCUCACUCUUUGUCUCUAUCAUGCUCUAACUGGCAGCACAAAAAUUUGCUACAUCUAAUUGGAUAAAGUGGCUUGGCCAAUUCGGUGAGCCACGACUCGGCGGCGGCGACGACGCUUGGGGCGGCCUCCUCGAUGGUGGGGGAGGCGGUGCUCGGGCGCGAGGUGGUACUGGACGGAGAGCUGUGAGCGUGGCUGCAACGAAGAAGGACAAGCAGUGUAGAAGGAGGAGUCUGCAUGCGCCAGCUAUGAGAUGAAGCGAGAAAGGAAACCAAAUACAAAAUACAUUGGGCCAACAUGGGUCGUGUAAUAGUGGAUUGUAGUUCCACAAAUCACAGGGGUGCGUUUGGAUGCGUGUAUCAAGCCAGCCAGACUCUCGUAACGCAGCCAAGCCCUAUGUGGCCAGACUCUAUGCAUGCAACUGGUUACUGUUUGGAUGUCUGUAUGCGUAGCAUCCGGUCCAGCUGAGACUUUGUUUGGUUUGCUGGUUGCACCAAGCCCCGUUA
Molecule: long non-coding RNA, 1527 nt
Organism: Zea mays
Lineage: Eukaryota; Viridiplantae; Streptophyta; Magnoliopsida; Poales; Poaceae
Exons: 4
Source: RefSeq, a predicted model, not a curated record